Arabidopsis lyrata subsp. lyrata is the source of this 7134-nucleotide RNA transcript. It is a transcript of the gene named DExH-box ATP-dependent RNA helicase DExH12, with no coding region annotated. The record is from RefSeq and is a predicted model, not a curated record. The transcript is spliced from 6 exons. NCBI's taxonomy places the organism in Eukaryota, Viridiplantae, Streptophyta, Magnoliopsida, Brassicales, Brassicaceae.
AAAGAAUUCGCAGUCGAAUAACGAAGGAGUGUCUCCUUUAGUCAUUUAGGUCGAUUUUUAGGAGAUAGAGGACGUGAGAAGGGAGAAGAAAUCUGAAUCUCCCAUUAGGGUUUCUUCUAGUAGAUUGAUUCGUUGCCGAGAGUGAAGCUAAGAAGAGAUUUCGUUUCGUAGCUGUUUCGGUUUUCGGAUUUGGUGAUGGCGAACUUGGGAGGCGGUGCGGAAGCACAUGCCAGGUUCAAGCAGUAUGAGUACAGAGCCAAUUCUAGUCUGGUGUUAACUACUGAUAAUCGUCCUCGCGAUACUCAUGAGCCUACAGGAGAACCGGAAACUCUGUGGGGGAAAAUUGAUCCGAGGUCUUUUGGUGACCGUGUUGCUAAGGGGAGGCCUCAGGAGUUGGAGGAUAAGCUUAAAAAGUCUAAGAAGAAGGAACGUGAUGUUGUUGAUGAUACUGCUAAUGUUAGGCAGAGUAAGAGGCGUCGUCUAAGGGAAGAGAGCGUUCUAACUGAUACUGAUGAUGCGGUUUAUCAGCCAAAGACUAAGGAGACAAGGGCUGCUUAUGAGGCCAUGCUUAGUCUAAUUCAGCAGCAGUUGGGUGGGCAACCUCUGAGUAUUGUUAGUGGUGCUGCAGAUGAGAUUUUGGCUGUUCUCAAGAACGAUACAUUUAGAAACCCUGAGAAAAAGAUGGAGAUCGAGAAGUUGCUGAACCAUAUUGAAAACCAUGAGUUUGAUCAGCUUGUUUCCAUUGGAAAGUUGAUCACGGACUUUCAAGAGGGUGGUGAUUCUGGUGGUGGUAAAGCUGAUGAGGAAGAAGGACUAGAUGAUGAUUUGGGCGUGGCGGUUGAGUUUGAGGAGAAUGAAGAAGACGAUGAUGAGAGUGAUCCCGAUAUGGUUCAAGAGGAAGAUGAUGAGGAGGAUGAAGAGCCUACCAGAACUGGAGGCAUGCAGGUUGAUGCUGGGAUCAAUGAUCAGGAUGCAGGAGAUGCAAAUGAGGGCGCAAAUCUUAAUGUUCAAGACAUUGAUGCAUAUUGGCUCCAGAGAAAGAUCUCUCAAGCAUAUGAACAGCAGAUUGAUCCACAACAAUGCCAGGUACUUGCAGAAGAGCUGCUUAAGGUACUCGCUGAAGGGGAUGAUAGGGUUGUUGAGAACAAGCUGCUUAUGCACCUUCAGUUCGAAAAGUUUAGCCUUGUUAAGUUUCUGCUGCGGAAUCGUCUUAAAGUUGUGUGGUGCACUCGUUUGGCUAGGGCAGAAGACCAGGAAGAGAGGAAGAGAAUUGAGGAGGAGAUGAGGGGGUUGGGCCCAGAGUUGACUGCUAUUGUGGAGCAGUUGCAUGCAACAAGAGCAACAGCGAAAGAGAGGGAGGAGAACCUGCAAAAAAGUAUUAACGAAGAAGCCCGACGUUUGAAGGACGAAACUGGUGGAGAUGGAGGCAGACGCAGGAGAGAUGUUGCUGAUAGAGAUUCAGAGAGUGGCUGGGUGAAGGGUCAGCGUCAGAUGCUGGACCUGGAGAGCUUGGCUUUUGACCAAGGUGGUCUCCUGAUGGCGAAUAAGAAGUGUGACCUUCCCCCUGGCUCUUACAGAAGUCAUGGCAAGGGAUAUGAUGAAGUUCAUGUGCCAUGGGUUUCUAAAAAGGUCGAUAGCAAUGAGAAGCUUGUGAAGAUUACGGAAAUGCCUGAUUGGGCGCAACCGGCUUUUAAGGGAAUGCAACAGUUAAACAGGGUUCAGAGCAAAGUGUAUGACACUGCACUUUUUAAGGCAGAGAACCUUCUUCUUUGUGCUCCAACUGGUGCUGGGAAAACCAAUGUUGCUAUGCUCACCAUACUGCAGCAACUUGAAAUGAAUAGGAACAAAGAUGGAACUUAUAACCAUGGAGAUUACAAAAUUGUCUAUGUUGCACCCAUGAAAGCCCUUGUUGCUGAAGUUGUAGGUAAUUUGUCUAAUCGUCUGAAGGAUUAUGGAGUUACUGUGAGAGAACUCAGUGGGGAUCAGUCCCUAACCGGGAGAGAAAUUGAAGAGACUCAGAUAAUUGUUACCACACCAGAGAAAUGGGAUAUCAUCACUAGGAAGUCUGGAGACCGAACUUACACUCAGCUUGUAAGACUUCUUAUAAUUGAUGAAAUUCAUCUCCUUCAUGAUAAUCGAGGGCCUGUGCUUGAAAGCAUUGUCGCUAGGACUCUUAGGCAAAUUGAAACCACGAAAGAGAAUAUUCGUCUGGUUGGUUUAUCUGCUACACUGCCAAAUUAUGAAGACGUGGCCUUGUUUUUGCGGGUUGAUCUUAAGAAAGGUUUGUUUAAAUUUGACCGCAGCUACAGACCCGUGCCUCUCCAUCAGCAGUAUAUUGGAAUCAGUGUGAAGAAACCGUUGCAGAGGUUCCAGUUGAUGAAUGAUCUAUGUUAUCAGAAAGUUUUGGCAGGUGCUGGAAAGCACCAGGUCCUUAUUUUUGUUCAUUCAAGGAAGGAAACAGCGAAAACUGCUAAAGCAAUACGGGACACUGCAAUGGCAAACGAUACCCUCAGCAGAUUCUUGAAGGAAGAUAGUGUAACUCGUGAAGUUCUCCAGAGUCAUGUUGACAUUGUUAAAAAUGGUGAGCUGAAAAAUAUUCUGCCUUACGGUUUUGCAAUUCAUCAUGCUGGGUUAACAAGGGGUGAUCGUGAGAUCGUUGAGAAUCUUUUUGCUCAGGGGCAUGUGCAAGUCUUGGUUUCCACAGCAACUCUCGCAUGGGGUGUGAAUCUGCCUGCACAUACCGUUAUUAUAAAAGGAACCCAGGUGUAUAAUCCUGAAAAAGGGGCGUGGAUGGAGCUGAGUCCUCUAGAUGUUAUGCAGAUGCUUGGUCGUGCUGGAAGACCUCAGUAUGAUCGACAUGGGGAGGGUAUAAUUAUCACUGGCUACAGCGAGCUGCAAUAUUAUCUUUCUUUGAUGAAUGAGCAACUACCUAUUGAAAGCCAGUUUAUUUCCAAACUUGCUGACCAGCUUAAUGCUGAAAUUGUGCUUGGAACCGUUCAGAAUGCUAGAGAGGCUUGCCAUUGGCUUGGUUAUACGUAUUUAUAUAUCCGUAUGGUUCGUAAUCCAACGCUGUAUGGCUUAGCGCCUGAUGCCCUUGCAAAAGACGUAGUGUUGGAGGAGAGAAGAGCUGACCUGAUACAUUCGGCUGCUACUAUCUUGGACAAAAACAACUUGGUUAAGUAUGACAGGAAAAGUGGAUACUUCCAAGUUACAGAUUUGGGACGCAUUGCUAGCUACUAUUACAUAACCCAUGGGACCAUAGCUACAUACAAUGAGCAUUUGAAGCCAACAAUGGGUGAUAUAGAUCUUUAUCGUCUGUUCUCCCUGAGUGAAGAGUUCAAGUAUGUGACGGUUCGGCAAGAUGAGAAGAUGGAACUGGCGAAACUUUUGGAUCGUGUCCCGAUUCCGAUCAAGGAAACUUUGGAGGAGCCCAGUGCAAAAAUAAAUGUAUUGCUGCAGGCAUAUAUUUCACAGCUAAAGCUUGAGGGUCUUUCUUUGACAUCUGACAUGGUUUACAUUACUCAGAGUGCUGGACGUCUUGUGCGAGCUCUUUAUGAAAUUGUAUUGAAGCGGGGAUGGGCUCAACUGGCAGAGAAGGCUCUGAACUUGUCUAAAAUGGUUGGGAGGAGGAUGUGGAGUGUCCAGACACCCCUGCGUCAGUUUCAUGGAAUCCCCAAUGAUAUUUUAAUGAACUUGGAGAAGAAGGAUUUGGUGUGGGAGAGGUACUAUGAUCUAUCCUCACAGGAGCUAGGAGAGCUUAUUCGUAGUCCUAAGAUGGGCAGGCCGCUUCACAAGUUCAUUCACCAGUUCCCAAAAUUGACUCUUUCUGCACAUGUUCAGCCUAUUACUCGCACUGUUCUGAAGGUGGAGCUCACAGUUACACCUGAUUUCCUGUGGGACGAGAAAAUUCAUAAAUAUGUUGAGCCGUUUUGGAUAAUUGUGGAAGACAAUGAUGGUGAAAAGAUCCUUCAUCACGAGUAUUUUCUUUUGAAGCAGCAGUAUAUUGAUGAGGAUCACACUUUGAAUUUCACUGUGCCAAUCUUUGAACCGCUGCCACCUCAGUAUUUUGUUCGAGUGGUUUCAGACAAGUGGCUUGGCUCCGAGACUGUGUUGCCUGUAUCUUUCAGGCAUCUUAUUCUUCCAGAAAAGUAUCCACCUCCGACUGAGCUACUGGACUUGCAGCCUCUCCCAGUGACGGCGCUAAGGAAUCCGAAUUAUGAGAUACUCUAUCAGGAUUUCAAGCAUUUCAAUCCAGUGCAGACUCAGGUCUUUACUGUUUUGUAUAACACUAACGACAAUGUGUUGGUUGCUGCUCCAACGGGAAGUGGCAAAACUAUUUGUGCAGAGUUCGCUAUUUUGAGGAAUCAUCAAGAAGGACCUGAUGCUACAAUGCGUGUUGUUUAUAUUGCACCGCUUGAGGCUAUUGCCAAGGAGCAGUUUCGUAUCUGGGAGGGGAAGUUUGGGAAGGGUCUUGGUUUACGGGUUGUUGAGCUAACUGGGGAGACAGCAUUGGAUCUUAAGCUGCUUGAGAAAGGCCAGAUAAUCAUAAGUACUCCUGAGAAAUGGGAUGCUCUUUCCCGCAGGUGGAAACAGAGAAAAUACGUUCAACAAGUUAGUCUUUUCAUCGUCGACGAACUCCAUCUAAUUGGAGGUCAAGGUGGUCCAGUGUUGGAGGUAAUCGUCUCCAGAAUGAGAUAUAUAUCAAGUCAGGUCAAUAAUAAGAUCAGGAUUGUUGCGCUAUCCACUUCACUUGCAAAUGCAAAAGAUCUUGGGGAGUGGAUUGGGGCCAGUUCCCACGGCCUUUUCAACUUCCCUCCCGGCGUCCGUCCUGUUCCACUGGAGAUCCACAUUCAGGGAGUGGAUAUAUCCAGUUUUGAAGCCAGGAUGCAGGCGAUGACCAAGCCAACCUACACCGCCAUAGUUCAGCACGCAAAGAACAAGAAGCCGGCUAUUGUUUUCGUCCCAACCCGUAAACAUGUCCGCUUGACUGCUGUGGAUCUAAUGGCUUAUUCUCACAUGGAUAACCCGCAGAGUCCUGAUUUCUUGUUAGGGCAACUGGAAGAACUGGACCCUUUUGUUAGCCAAAUCCGCGAGGAAACACUGAAGGAAACACUGCGUCAUGGUAUUGGGUACCUGCAUGAGGGUUUAAGCAGUCUUGAUCAGGAGAUUGUGACACAGCUCUUUGAAGCUGGACGGAUUCAGGCUUGUGUGAUGAGCAGUUCAUUGUGUUGGGGUACUCCAUUAACUGCGCAUUUGGUGGUCGUAAUGGGGACACAGUAUUACGAUGGGAGGGAAAAUUCACAUUCUGAUUAUCCCGUCCCUGAUCUGCUUCAGAUGAUGGGGCGUGCUAGCCGACCACUUCUUGACAAUGCUGGGAAGUGUGUGAUCUUUUGUCAUGCACCGCAGAAAGAGUAUUACAAGAAGUUUCUGUACGAAGCCUUCCCUGUGGAAAGUCAGCUCCAGCAUUUCUUGCAUGAUAAUUUCAACGCAGAAGUGGUUGCUGGGGUUAUAGAGAACAAGCAAGAUGCCGUGGAUUAUCUUACAUGGACUUUCAUGUACAGGAGGCUUCCCCAGAACCCUAACUACUACAAUCUCCAAGGUGUUAGCCACAGGCAUUUGUCUGAUCACCUCUCAGAGCUGGUUGAGAACACCUUGUCUAAUCUUGAAGCCAGUAAAUGCAUUGAGAUAGAGGAUGAGAUGGAACUCUCUCCUCUCAACCUUGGUAUGAUUGCAUCCUAUUACUACAUCAGUUAUACCACCAUUGAGCGCUUCAGUUCACUGUUGUCUUCUAAAACCAAGAUGAAGGGACUUCUUGAGAUCUUAACAUCAGCUUCGGAGUAUGACAUGAUUCCUAUACGGCCUGGUGAGGAGGACACUGUUCGAAGAUUAAUCAAUCACCAGAGGUUCUCUUUUGAAAACCCAAAAUGCACAGACCCUCAUGUGAAGGCAAACGCGCUUCUUCAGGCGCAUUUCUCAAGGCAAAACAUUGGCGGGAACUUGGCAAUGGAUCAGCGUGAUGUCCUUCUAUCUGCAACCAGACUUCUUCAAGCGAUGGUCGAUGUGAUAUCAAGCAAUGGCUGGCUGAAUCUUGCUCUGUUAGCUAUGGAAGUAAGCCAGAUGGUGACUCAAGGCAUGUGGGAGCGGGACUCCAUGCUUCUGCAGCUCCCUCACUUCACAAAGGACUUGGCCAAGAGGUGCCAAGAGAAUCCGGGGAAAAACAUUGAAACCGUAUUCGAUCUUGUGGAGAUGGAGGACGAAGAACGCCAAGAGCUUCUCAAGAUGUCAGACGCUCAGCUUCUAGACAUUGCCAGAUUCUGCAACCGCUUCCCAAACAUCGACCUUACUUACGAGAUUGUGGGCAGUGAAGAGGUGAACCCAGGGAAAGAGGUUACAUUGCAAGUGAUGCUUGAGAGAGACAUGGAGGGGAGGACAGAAGUGGGACCUGUGGAUUCACUCAGGUAUCCCAAGACCAAAGAAGAAGGAUGGUGGCUGGUCGUGGGCGACACCAAGACGAACCAGUUGCUGGCAAUCAAGCGUGUCUCAUUGCAACAGAAAGCGAAGGUGAAGCUGGAUUUCACAGUACCGAGUGAACCAGGAGAGAAGUCAUACACACUAUACUUCAUGUGUGACUCUUACUUGGGGUGUGACCAAGAGUACUCUUUCUCUGUUGAUGUCAAAGGAUCUGGCGCUGGAGAUCACAUGGAAGAAUGAUUUGUUGUUCAGCUCGCUUUCAUCUAUCGUGUGAAUAAUUUGUUCAUCAAGCUGCGGCGUGUUAGUUUUUCUGCUUCUGUUUUUUUCUUUUUUGCAUGAGGCAUAUGCUGAUUCUGGAGAGUGGGUAAACUUGUCUUCCGUUAGGGUCUCUGCAAUCUCAACUUUCCAAGAAUAGAUAUUAAGGUGUAAUCGUUGUCCUGGUCUUUUACCAUUCCUUGACCUCUGGCAAUACUAAAACGAAACCAUUGAGAUUACUCAUUUUAUGUCAUGCAUCGAGUUUUAGCCUAUGUAUGGGAUUGUUUCUGGUUUUGUUUGGACCGAACUCGAGAGAGGAGCCAAUGUCAAAACUACGAUUUGAGUUUAUGACUUUGAAAGCUGAGAUUGCUUAAAAGAAUUUUAAAUGCAGCAGUGUUCAUUUUGUAA